This 1913-nucleotide long non-coding RNA is filed under the name Triticum aestivum (bread wheat). RNAcentral describes it as "long non-coding RNA (TAES_LNC021118)". Lineage: Eukaryota; Viridiplantae; Streptophyta; Magnoliopsida; Poales; Poaceae. The record is from RNAcentral.
AACAUAAGAACUAUCAGAAUGACCAGAUGAGACCAAAAUUAUGCCACAUAAAUAAACAUGUUUUUGUUAGAAAUAAUUGACGAGAGAAAAUGUAAUUACAAAAGAAAGAUCAAAGGCUUACAAGUUAGUAUACUCCUAAAAACUGUAUGCUUGCCUGCCAAAAUCAGUACAAUCUAGGCUUUUUCUGUACCAAUAUACGCACCGCCUUUCAAAAGACUAAACAAUAUCUGGAUCACGUCAACUUUUCACUCUGUGCACACCCGCGUUACCCAAAGGGGACUACAGAAGUAUGUCUAACAAAACUCGAGUAAGUAUCAAGUCAAAUACAUUGGGAAAAAACAGGAUGCUACUCCACUGAACUAUACACAUAUCAGCCAGGAUUCAGCCUGCAUUUCACCUCAUGAGAUCAGCUUGUGUAUCGCCUCAUGUAUAGUGUAGAAGAGAUUAGUUCCUUAUGAAUUUUAUAUUUGUCAGGUGAACAAAGCCAUACAUUUCUCAUUUCAAUGGUGAGUAAUUUUCUUUUAGUACCUACAAUGGCAGAAAGUAUUCCGUAAGUAUGCCAAGUAUAUAUAACAAAAUGAGUACACGAGGAGAGAAGUGUAUAAUCAAAGGGAGCACAUAACAAAUGAGAAUCAUCUUCUUCAUGCUGUUUUACGCAUAUGGAGUUCAUGAGCAGGAAUACAAAACGGGCUGAUUUUCACUGAACUUGUGUGGAAUCACAUAUUUUGAAAUGGCAAUAAGACAUGGCCCACUACUUGAAACUGUAAUCAAUAUUCUUCAGACACCACACUGAGUCUUUCAGCAACCAUACAGAGUUCAAACAAACAGAAUAUUACCUAUCUAUUUCAAGGAUUGCCUAUUUUCUUCAGCAAGCCAUACAGAGUUGAAACAGACAGAAUAUUACCUAUCUAGUUCAGGGAUUGCCUAUUUUCUAUCUAGUUCAAUCAUGCGAUUUCCUUAACUUUACUGCCGACUCUUGGUAACAUAAAUAUAACAGUAGUGAUCCGUGAUGAAAAACAGACAAUGUCAAUGGUUAACCAAUUAAUAAACCCCUUCACAGUUCAAAGACCACGUUCCCUUAGGACGAAAUAGAGAAUAGGAAAUUUAUUCAAAACCAAUUCUGCAGUACUAAUACGUGAUGGAGAACAACUAUUGUCAAUGUGUCAACAAUUAAAUAAAUUCACAUGUGUUUUUCACCCAGAGAAUCCAAGACAGGAGCAACAAGUCAAGCAGCAUGCACCAAUGGAGUAAUUAGAUUAGGAUUGAGAAAUAUUAGUUACUUAUCCGGGAAGCUGUCCACCUUUUGAUGGCUUUUCCGUUCAAAUAAAGAUGGCUCUUGCUAGCCACUGUGUUUUCACCCUCACGCUAUAUCGCAAAUCUUCUCAUUUUCAGUGGACUUCAACUAGACAAAAGCGAUCUUUCAUAGGAUUAUUGCAUACAAGUAAAUUUUGAUGUCCUAAGCAGAGAAAUACACAGGUAGGCGGUCACUUAUCACAGGUCGAAGUUAUUUUUUUUGGAAUCAAGAGUAUGUUUUGAUUCAGUUCACCAGCAUCAAGUAUGAGAUUAUUGGUCAACUAUACUUGCAACUAAAGUGGCUCCUAAUUUGCAAUUCUAACUAUUGAUCAACUACAACACGUGAGCACAUGCACAGCUGUAUUUGAGUUCCUUGCAGAUUGCAAAAGGAAACACAGACAAGCAAAUAUAACUGGGCCUUUAUUUACAUUGAUUAUUAAAGAACUAAUACCUGUGCACUAUAAAGAAAUCAAACUGGAACUUGGUCGUAGCAUCAAUGAUUUGGGCUCUAAACAAAUUUGGCAGACAACAAGUGGAAUUGUAAUUGCCCAAGUAAAGGCUAAACAUGCUGCACCGCCGCUCUUCCUCAGUCAUCAAUAAUUCCUGGUUGUGCUCCUGCC